UCUGCCAUAAAUUUCCUUGAGAAAUUUAUCUUUCGCUCUCUCGAAUUCGAAUAACUCUCGGAACUUAUGAAAGGUCGAAAAUUAGUCGACUCGUUACCAGAAUCAUUGAAAGAAAAAGGUCGCCGAUGCCGGAGAGAAGACAACGGUAAAUUGUCAUUUUCCACGGAUUGAUUAAGGUUUACGUCAUCCUCCGAUCCGCCGGUUUCGGCGUCGGAAAAUAUGUCGCCG
This 228-nucleotide unclassified non-coding RNA is filed under the name Hevea brasiliensis (rubber tree). The record is from RNAcentral. Lineage: Eukaryota; Viridiplantae; Streptophyta; Magnoliopsida; Malpighiales; Euphorbiaceae.